CCUACGGGAGGCAGCAGUGAGGAAUAUUGGUCAAUGGACGAGAGUCUGAACCAGCCAAGUAGCGUGAAGGAUGACUGCCCUAUGGGUUGUAAACUUCUUUUAUAUGGGAAUAAAAUGUUCCACGUGUGGGUUUUUGUAUUUACCAUAUGAAUAAGGAUCGGCUAACUCCGUGCCAGCCGCCGCGGUAAUACGGAGGAUCCGGGCGUUAUCCGGAUUUAUUGGGUUUAAAGGGAGCGUAGAUGGGUUGUUAAGUCAGGUGUGAAAGUUUGCGGCUCAACCGUAAAAUUGCAAUUGAUACUGGCAGGCUGGAGUACAGUUGAGGUAGGCGGAAUUCGUGGUGUAGCGGUGAAAUGCUUAGAUAUCACGAAGAACUCCGAUUGCGAAGGCAGCUUACUAAACUGCGACUGACAUUGAUGCUCGAAAGUGUGGGUAUCAAACAGGAGUAGAUACCCCGGUAGUC
This 460-nucleotide ribosomal RNA is filed under the name uncultured bacterium. RNAcentral describes it as "partial 16S ribosomal RNA". It matches the Rfam family "Bacterial small subunit ribosomal RNA", at positions 338 to 795 of the family's 1533-position model. The record is from RNAcentral.